GGAUUAUCUGGCAAGUCUGCAUUAGCAAAGCAAAAGAAGGAAAAGAGGAAAACAUAUGGGUCACUUGAACAUACGGUAAAAGUUAGCCUUUUCUUUAUGAAGACUUUGGACGAAAAAGCAACAGUCAAUAAUGGUUCCCUUUCUCUAAACUAAACAACCUUCUCUUUCUAUUUUUGGCUUUUGAAUCACUUGUGUUCUUUAUCAAGAUUGGGCAAACUGAAUCUCACAGUUUGGAAGAAAAACUUGUUUUUCUUGCUUCCUUUAGCGCUUCAACAAAUACUCACUGUGCUAUUUAUCUUAAUAAAAACAAAGAUCAAUAACCGACAAAAACUACUAGACUCCA
RNAcentral lists this unclassified non-coding RNA (343 nucleotides) under Hevea brasiliensis (rubber tree). Lineage: Eukaryota; Viridiplantae; Streptophyta; Magnoliopsida; Malpighiales; Euphorbiaceae. The record is from RNAcentral.